CAACCCUCAGGACUCGCUCCUGGCGUUGGGGAUCAGCGUAGGCGCGGGGGCAACCCCGCCUGCUGUCCCUGAAAUUCAGUGGCGGUCCGGCCCUGGACUCCCUGGCGUAGUAAUCUUACCACCUCGCCUGCGGAAGAAAGGCCUGACCACGCCGUAAAACCCCCUACUUCUUAGU
RNAcentral lists this unclassified non-coding RNA (175 nucleotides) under uncultured Ascomycota. RNAcentral describes it as "sequence contains ITS2". Lineage: Eukaryota; Fungi; Ascomycota. The record is from RNAcentral.